AGGAUGAACGCUGGCGGCGUGCCUAACACAUGCAAGUCGAACGUCCUGUCUCGCAAGAGGCAGGGAGUGGCGGACGGGUGAGUACCACGUGGGUUAUCUACCGUGAGGUGAGGAAUACCGGCGAGAAAUCGCCGACAAGACCGCAUAGCCUCGGUGCAAGCCGAGGAAAGCUUUCUCGAGAGAGGGAGCGCCACACGAGGAGCCUGCGCCCGAUUAGCUAGCUGGUGGAGUAACGGUUCACCAGGGCGACGAUCGGUAGCUGGUCUGAGAGGACGAUCAGCCACACUGGGAUUGAGAACGGCCCAGACUCCUACGGGGGGCAGCAGUGAGGAAUUUUCGUCAAUGGGGGCAACCCUGAACGAGCAACGCCGCGUGCAGGAAGAAGGUUUUCGGAUCGUAAACUGCUUUUCUCGGGGAAGAGAACGGACGGUACCCGAGGAAUCAGCCCGGCUAACUACGUGCCAGCAGCCGCGGUA
Molecule: ribosomal RNA, 476 nt
Filed under: uncultured bacterium
Lineage: Bacteria
Description: SSU rRNA
Rfam family: Bacterial small subunit ribosomal RNA
Source: RNAcentral